UGGUGAGGCAACCCUGCAGGAAGAGGCUGUGAGACACAGAUGUUGUGUAACGUGAGCUGGAACAGGGGCCAUGAUAACAGCAGUACUAACUGCUGUUUGGACAUUUAUAGUAAAUCCUGCACCUUCGAGGACACUCUCUCUGAGAGAAAACACCCCAGCGCUCUCCAUUAUUGCAGGUAUUUUACCGGACUCCAGCUGAGUUUAGUUUUUUUCGCAGCCGCGUCUCUUAACCCCGCCCUAUUGUCAUGAGCGUCCGCGGAGACCCGGAAAAAGUGGCUACGGUGCUGGAGAGGCCGAGGGGGGGCGCCGUCAGGCUCGCUGUGCACAGCUUACUCGGCACAUCGGCCUCCCACGGGUUCCCCGACUCGCUCUGACGGCCCCGCGGGACGCAGCCGCUUUCGGGAAUUAAUCACGGAAAGACGAGGAUCAGCCCGCGUGUGACACUUGGUGGGGACUCAUUUCCUGGAGCCAGACCGGAUCGCCGGGCGACCCACUCUCUCCACCAGCGUGUUGGCCGAUAAGCACCGCAGGCAUCCGCGGAUUGUUUACGGCCAGUGGACAGAGACGUGUACGGACAGGGGAAGCUUCCAGCAGGUUGGUCCACGGUGAUGUCACUCUCAGCAUGUCUCCAGGUUCCCGUGUUCCCCACACCGUGCUCUGGGGUGUCAGCGAAAACAUAUAAAGACCAGCAACAUUCUGAGUGUCAGCUCUGUUCUGCAAGAUCACUCUCGAGGAAUCCACAACUUGCUCUGUUUUGAAUGAUCACGCUCAUGGGAGUUGUACUUGCACAAACAUGUUCUGUGGACAGAACUAAAUAGGAUUGGUUCAGAGAGCUAACCAAUCAGAUUUUGGAUGGGGUGGGUCCAAAUAACUAGAGAAGGCGGGACCAAUCAAUCAGAUGUCUUGGGCCCACCUCCUCUAGUUGCUUGGAUCCACCUUCUCUAUAAUCUCAUUGGUUAUCUCUCUGAAUCAGUCAUUUUUCACUCUGCCCUCAGAACAUUUUUGUGUAAAACUCCCACAAGGAAAGAUCACUGUUCAGGAAUCCACAAACACACUCUAUUCUGAAAGAUCAGAAUAGUUCUGUUCCUAGGAAUCACUCUGCUCUCAUCCAUAAAAACAGGUUUUCAGUGUUUAAUGGCUGAGAACCUUCAGGAGUAGAAUGUCCACAUUGGCUUUGGGGUAGUUAACCUAUGUUUCUCCAAUAUAUGUGUACGCUUAUGGCGGAGCGAUAAAAGGGGGUCGCAACUGGGUCAAAUGCAGCAUCAUAGCAGCUCUUUGUUUGUCCAUGACACUGAGGGGCGUGUUUUUUGUGACGGCUAGAGGCCCUUAGACGGUGAGCCUUCCUCUUGUAUCAUUUCACCUUAAAGUGACAGUGCUACACACACAUUGAACCAAAGAGAAGAGGAACCAGUGUUCAUUUGACAAGGGAAUAAGUACAAUUUCCAGGGUCAGCAAAAUUCUUCAACUCAUCUCCAUUUCUUAGCUAAAGCUAUCCAUACAUUUCUUAUCUACUGGAUCAGUGAUUCCAUCCAUCUCUCUGUCCCUAACGUGUUUCUUUCCCUGUCUCUCUAUAGAUAUGCUUCGUUUGUGCAAACAUCACACGUUACAUCGGUUUGUUUGUUCUGGAUGUCCCUUCAACUCUCAGACACCAACAGCAGCAGGAAAACAACAGCAUCAGAUCAAGAGGAGGGGAAACAAGCCCAGGGAAUCAGAGCCCGAAGUUUCCCAUUCCUUCCAUUGCUGACCCAGUUAGCAGACGGCCCCAUGAUGGGAACCGGGGGGAGCGGUUCCGUGAAAUGGAUGUCAGCCCUGCGGGCCCGAGAGAGCCCAGUGCAAUCUGCACCCCGUCCAUGGAGCAAAUUGUCUCCAAACGGGCCCAUUUUUCGACUCAAUUUAAAACAUGUCAGAAGGAGCGUGGAACAAUCCACAUUCAUCAGAGGCUACCUGGAAAUGAUCGCCAUGCAAUUUGGCUCCUCGGCCACUGGGGCCGGCGGUAAACGCGCCGGUGACAUUUAUUAGGCUUCGUAUUCGCGAGCCGGAGCCAUUUCCACAACAAGAGUAAAUAAACACAGGAAUAAACAAAGAUUCCGCUUGUUCUGCAUCUCGCAUUUGUCACGGUUCUGCCGUUCGACGUGAUUCCAGGCCCUCAGACCCGGUUCCGCUCCCCAGGUCUUGCAAAUGAGGACCCUCGAUUGCCAGACGUGGUGGAACAACCAGACAACUCUGGCUGAUUACAGUACAGUGUCCACCUCCUCGUAUUCCUAAUUGACUGGUGGGUGGGUGGCUGGGGGGGGGGGGCCGUCUUCAUUUUUACUAGCAUCACCACCCCACCCUGACUUUAAGGGUCUAAUGGCAGCUCUGAAGCAACUCAGGGAGGGGCUUGUUACUGACACUGCAGUGUAGACAGAUGCAGUUGGUCACAGGUAGGCUGCACUGCCACAUGCGUCAACACGGGGUUUGCAUGCAAGUACAUGUGGUUAGUGACUCGCCUGUCUCUCCCCCCCCCAUCUCCAUCACACCGGCACUCUAAGAAUCGGUGAGUUAUUUAUUUAUUUAACAGACGCUUUUAUCCAAUGCGACCUACAUAUUUUUUUUAGAAGGCAGGGUCGGCCAGUGCCUGUAGCAAUUGGGGGUUAAGGACCUUUACUCUGCCAACCCUGGGAUUUGAACCAGCGAGUGGCACGCUGCCCCCGUGCCCCCGUGCCCCCCCCGUGCCCGGUACUGAUGCUGACGCACGCCGGCGACGGAGGCUUCCGCCUCUCCUAAUACCGAGCCAGAUGAAGCUGAAGGUUGCCCCCACGCUUGGCUCUCACCCAGCCGCCUGCCCCCUUCCCACUCGAGAGUCCUGUUCAACCCUCGAUUCCAUGCCCAGAAGCACAUGAGUAGGUGCCAGUCCGUCGCUUCCCGGGCUUACUCCCUCUCCGCCUGUUUGUUUUGGUGUUCAUUGGACGGUCGCCGGGCUCAGAUUCCCGGACCGUAACGGGGCUCUCCCGGUUUCCCAAACACGCUGCUCAGGCCAUUCCGUUCCACAAAGGAUCUGAGCCUUCCCUACUCCCAUGUGCCAUCAACGAUCCUUCAAGCUGACUGUCAAAACCACCGGCGAAUUAAACACCGUCAAGGCCGUCAAGCCGCAAACGGACGCCGAUCGAUCAGUGUGUGUCAGGAGCGAGCGCCGCCCGGCCUGAUUUAUGAAUCCGCACGUGGUCCCAGAUCCCUGCUUCAGAAACAAAGGCUGCAGCAAAUGAAGAAUCGGCUGCACCCUCAAGACGGCACUGAGCAUUAACACGCAGCUCCAGGAACCUUCUAGCAGCCACUGUGGAGGACUUAGCAGCAUAUAGAGCUGGAUUCGUUGUUCAUGCUGCUUUCAAAACAUUCUCCUGCAAUCCAGGGAAUACAUCCACAUCAGAGUUACAGCAGUAUGAGUAGUAUUAACCAGCCAAGUUUGACAAAGACAUUAUAUAUUUUUUUCAGAGCAAUAUGCAUAUACUUUCCCUACCAUAUUGUUUUAGUGCUGGCUUGUUUCCUGCAGGGGGUGCUGUUUAUCGCAUGGGGAGAGCCGGCUGUCCGCAGUGCACCAGUUAAUUCGGUUCACUUGGCCCUCGUUCCUGUGGUCGGUGUAAUUUAAUGUGUCCUGUUUCGAUUCGGCCCUACUAACCCAGACCAAAGUCCCGAUGCCAACUUAGCAGCUGGCUUCCAUCUCUUCCCGUUGCCGCCUCACGCCUACGUUUGGAUUUUCUCCCAUCACCAACCAAGAAGAUAUUUUUCCUGUGUGCGUUCUUUGCUUGGCUGAUCCCUAUGCUACUCAGUGGAGGACAUAAUCCUUACCAGCCCCAAACUGCUCUCACGCAUUUAUUUUCUGAAGGAAAACAAGUGUCUAAUUACUCAGAUUUAUUUACUCGCAGGAUGCCACCUGGGAUAUUCAUUUCUGCCCACUGAAAUUCAGGUUCCUGUGGCUGCUGCGCUACCUGAAUCCGUGCAUAAUUGUACCGUAAAAUCAUAUAAAAUUUAGAUGAAAGCAAACAUCCCCUGAGAACUUUCAUAUUGAUUUAUUUUUUGGGACUAACCACAUGCUUUUUUUGUGCUCUUUAGGCUGCUAGAUUACUUAAAAAUGCGAUCUCUGCUCUUAGAAGGGGUCUAAUAAUAACAGGCUAAGAGCAUGGAGACAACACCAUUGGAUUAACCUCGUUUUCCUUUAUUUCCCUGUGAUAUCAGCCUGAGGGAAGUGAUUAUUGCUGCUGAAUGUGAUCUGAUGCAUUCUGCCUGGAGUUUAACUCUUAGCUGAACACGAUAAGCCUUCCCCGCUUAUGUCCCCAAUACUCAAUUGUCACAAA
Paramormyrops kingsleyae is the source of this 4331-nucleotide long non-coding RNA. RefSeq lists it as uncharacterized. The record is from RefSeq and is a predicted model, not a curated record. NCBI's taxonomy places the organism in Eukaryota, Metazoa, Chordata, Actinopteri, Osteoglossiformes, Mormyridae.